This 275-nucleotide long non-coding RNA is filed under the name Actinidia chinensis (golden kiwifruit). RNAcentral describes it as "long non-coding RNA (ACHI_LNC001435)". Lineage: Eukaryota; Viridiplantae; Streptophyta; Magnoliopsida; Ericales; Actinidiaceae. The record is from RNAcentral.
CUUUAGUCACACAACCGGCGAGAUAGGGGGACGGAUCGUGAACUGAUUUUGCAUUAACUGCAAAUUCGUGAAUCUUGUUGGAUGAAUUCACGAAUUGGUUGACAGAUCCAUUCAGAUCAACUACAAACUGCCACACGUAUAGCUCACAGUGGGUGUAGUUAUGCCAUAUUGUUACCUAGCUUGCGAAUGGAAUAAAAAUCAAGUUAGUGUUGGUGGGAGCGCUUGAACGCGAGAUCUACCUCUUGGAAUUAUAAGUACUUACCCACUGUGCUGCC